RNAcentral lists this RNase P RNA (342 nucleotides) under chicken gut metagenome. RNAcentral describes it as "Bacterial RNase P class B". It matches the Rfam family "Bacterial RNase P class B". From Rfam's summary of the family: Ribonuclease P (RNase P) is a ubiquitous endoribonuclease, found in archaea, bacteria and eukarya as well as chloroplasts and mitochondria. Its best characterised activity is the generation of mature 5'-ends of tRNAs by cleaving the 5'-leader elements of precursor-tRNAs. The record is from RNAcentral.
UUACGCAAACGCUGCUAAUUUUUGUUAGUAGAGGAAAGUCCACGCUCACACGAUCCUGUGAUAGGUCGUAGUGUUCAUGCAAAGGGAAUGAAUAACCUUUGGUAGGUAUAACCUAACGGCGCCGAAAUAUCCUAAGUCUUUUAGAUAAGGUUAUGUUAGGCAUAAAGUGCCAUAGUGACGAUUCGCUUUGGAAACGAAGCAAGUGGAACGGGUAAACCCCAUGAGUGAGAAACCCAAAUUUGGUAGGGGAACCUUUACGAAGGAACCGAACGGAGUAAAGGAUGCUGUUAAAGCAUAGAUAAAUGUUUGCGGCCAGUUAUCUGGUACAGAACGUGGCUUAUU